GACGAACGCUGGCGGCGUGCUUAACACAUGCAAGUCGAACGGAAAGGCCCUGCUUUUGUGGGGUGCUCGAGUGGCGAACGGGUGAGUAACACGUGAGUAACCUGCCCUUGACUUUGGGAUAACUUCAGGAAACUGGGGCUAAUACCGGAUAGGAGCUCCUGCUGCAUGGUGGGGGUUGGAAAGUUUCGGCGGUUGGGGAUGGACUCGCGGCUUAUCAGCUUGUUGGUGGGGUAGUGGCUUACCAAGGCUUUGACGGGUAGCCGGCCUGAGAGGGUGACCGGCCACAAUGGGACUGAGAUACGGCCCAGACUGCUACGGGAGGCAGCAGUGGGGAAUAUUGCACAGUGGGCGGAAGCCUGAUGCAGCAACGCCGCGUGCGGGAUGACGGCCUUCGGGUUGUAAACCGCUUUCGCCUGUGACGAAGCGUGAGUGACGGUAAUGGGUAAAGAAGCACCGGCUAACUACGUG
RNAcentral lists this ribosomal RNA (468 nucleotides) under uncultured bacterium. Its description in RNAcentral is "partial 16S ribosomal RNA". It matches the Rfam family "Bacterial small subunit ribosomal RNA", at positions 28 to 507 of the family's 1533-position model. The record is from RNAcentral.